AUUCUUUUAGUAUUACUUAGUACAAUUGACUUCCAAUCAAUUAGCUUCGGUCUUAUCCGAAAAAGAAUA
This 69-nucleotide transfer RNA is filed under the name Lepilemur mustelinus (weasel lemur). Its description in RNAcentral is "tRNA-Gly". It matches the Rfam family "tRNA". Rfam says of the family: Transfer RNA (tRNA) molecules are approximately 80 nucleotides in length. Their secondary structure includes four short double-helical elements and three loops (D, anti-codon, and T loops). The record is from RNAcentral. Lineage: Eukaryota; Metazoa; Chordata; Mammalia; Primates; Lepilemuridae.